AAGUAGGUAGCUUAACCUUCGGGAGGGCGCUUACCACUUUGUGAUUCAUGACUGGGGUGAAGUCGUAACAAGGUAACCGUAGGGGAACCUGCGGUUGGAUCACCUCCUUACCUUAAAGAA
RNAcentral lists this ribosomal RNA (120 nucleotides) under Escherichia coli. RNAcentral's name for it is "partial 16S ribosomal RNA". It matches the Rfam family "Bacterial small subunit ribosomal RNA", at positions 1424 to 1533 of the family's 1533-position model. The record is from RNAcentral. Lineage: Bacteria; Pseudomonadati; Pseudomonadota; Gammaproteobacteria; Enterobacterales; Enterobacteriaceae. RNAcentral also lists the same sequence under 4 other names.